UACGUAGGGGGCAAGCGUUGUCCGGAAUCAUUGGGCGUAAAGAGCGUGUAGGCGGCCUGGUAAGUCCGCUGUGAAAGUCCAGGGCUCAACCCUGGAAUGCCGGUGGAAACUGUCAGGCUCGAGUCCGGAAGAGGCGAGUGGAAUUCCUGGUGUAGCGGUGAAAUGCGUAGAUAUCGGGAGGAACACCUGUGGCGAAAGCGGCUCUCUGGACCACAACUGACGCUGAGGCGCGAAAGCUAGGGGAGCAAACAGG
This 253-nucleotide ribosomal RNA is filed under the name uncultured bacterium. RNAcentral's name for it is "partial 16S ribosomal RNA". It matches the Rfam family "Bacterial small subunit ribosomal RNA", at positions 524 to 776 of the family's 1533-position model. The record is from RNAcentral.